GCGGCCGGUCGGAAGAACCUCGGGUGCUGGCGCGCCUGAAGUUGCAGACCAGACUGAAAUGUGCGAGACAUGUGCCUUUUUCUUAGGAAAGGCCCCAGGUACCAGAAAGGUUUUCAGCGCGCCGACCUACGGGGCUAAGAGGGCUGAAAUAAGAACCAGUGACUGAGCGCCGGGAGGUUUAAGGUUUAUGGAAGAUGUUCAUCGCGCCGUACCCUACUAGAGGUUUGGGGACGUGGGACACAGCCCCUGCGUUCCCGCCGCGGACCCCGUGAUAAAUACACAGACACACAAAAUCACUACCGCCUUGAAUCUGGACAGCUACCUCAGGUGGUUAAUAUCUAACAGGAGCAGAGUGGAGCUCAGAAAGACUCAGCGUGGGUGCUGGGUUCCGGCGCGACCAGCCUGAUACCUAGGUCAGCAUCUCAGCCACACAAGCAGGCGGCAGUUCUGUCAGGAAUUACUACAUCUGGUGAUUCCACUUCUCAUAGCUCACCGCUGGGAGAAUAAUUCCUCAGGAUUAACAAGAUCUAUUCCAGAGGAUCCUCACUGCUGAAGCGAUUUUAGAAGACAGUGUGGUCUGUUGACAGCUUCCUUGGAAAACAACCUAUAACUAACUUUCUGGGAGUAAAGCUUCAGGUGGAAGAACAAUUGGAUCAAACUUGGAAAACAUGCCCCCAGUUUGUCUACUCCAUUGAACUUUGCAUGCUUGGAGCCCCUGGCCUCAGCACACUCAAUCGCACAAGCCAGCCUGCAGCACCUGUACAGCACCAUGGGAGUCCCCUGCAGAGCUGCAACUUUGAGAGUGGGUAUAGUGACGUAACUCAGGUUCUUCAAGGGAUGAACACUCCAACUUUGAAACCACUAGCCUGUAGGUGUGGACGAAAAGGCAGCUGCAUGUUAUAAAACAAUAUUACUCAUACUUUUGGAUCAAGCUUCUUUCAGUCCCAUGGGUAGGGAGGAGGGGCAAUUUGCUGAAGCCCACUGCCCUUCCAGUACUCACAAGCCAAGGGCCCUAUGGGAUCUGUUUCACAGGACUCAUGCUUAUGGCAGCUGAGCACAUCUGUCCUGUAUGUCUGCCAGCAGCCACGUCCCUCUCACUCCUGUGACGACAGCCUUGACUAUAUUUAGAAAUUCCAUUUCUGAUUGCAUUUCACUGCUGAAUGGUCCUAGAAUCCUUUAUUGCCCUUGUCCCAUCACAAGAGACAGCCAGCCACAGCCACUUUUAUCUCAACAACAUACUGAAUACUGACAGAACAAACAGGCAAG
Molecule: long non-coding RNA, 1266 nt
Filed under: Homo sapiens (human)
Lineage: Eukaryota; Metazoa; Chordata; Mammalia; Primates; Hominidae
Description: HSALNT0304331
Source: RNAcentral